This 487-nucleotide ribosomal RNA is filed under the name uncultured fungus. Its description in RNAcentral is "eukaryotic LSU rRNA". The stretch from base 120 to 273 matches the Rfam family "5.8S ribosomal RNA". The record is from RNAcentral. Lineage: Eukaryota; Fungi.
UCGGCGGACACGCCCCGGGCGCGCCCUCACAGGCGUGCCCCGGAACCAGGCGCCCGCCGGGGGACCGAAACUCUUGUUUUCCUAGAGGAUCUCUGAGUGUGAUUAUAAAAUCAAAUCAAAACUUUCAACAACGGAUCUCUUGGCUCUGGCAUCGAUGAAGAACGCAGCGAAAUGCGAUAAGUAAUGCGAAUUGCAGAAUUCAGUGAAUCAUCGAAUCUUUGAACGCACAUUGCGCCCGCCAGUACUCUGGCGGGCAUGCCUGUCUGAGCGUCAUUUCAACCCUCGCGCCCGGCUUCUGUCGGGGGCGGUGUUGGGGAUCGGCCUCCCGUCUCCGGGCGGCCGUCCCCUAAANCCAGUGGCGACCGCGCCGUAGCCUCCUCUGCGUAGUAGUGAAACACUCGCGGGCGGAGAGCGGUGUGGCCCGCCGUAAAACCCCCCAACUUCUCAAGGUUGACCUCAGAUCAGGUAGGAAUACCCGCUGAACUUA